CCUACGGGUGGCAGCAGUGGGGGAUAUUGCACAAUGGGGGAAACCCUGAUGCAGCGACGCCGCGUGGGCGAAGAAGCGCCUCGGCGCGUAAAGCCCUGUCAGCAGGGAAGAAAAUGACGGUACCUGAAGAAGAAGCCCCGGCUAACUACGUGCCAGCAGCCGCGGUAAUACGUAGGGGGCAAGCGUUAUCCGGAUUUACUGGGUGUAAAGGGGGCGCAGGCGGGGUUGUAAGUCAGGAGUGAAAGGCCGGGGCCCAACCCGGGGACGGCUUUUGGAACUGCGUGGCUAGAGUGCAGGAGGGGCAGGCGGAAUUCCUGGUGUAGCGGUGAAAGGCGUAGAUAUCAGGAGGAACACCGGUGGCGAAGGCGGCCUGCUGGACUGCAACUGACGUUGAGGCCCGAAAGCGUGGGGAGCAAACAGGAUUAGAUACCCUGGUAGUC
Molecule: ribosomal RNA, 440 nt
Filed under: uncultured bacterium
Lineage: Bacteria
Description: partial 16S ribosomal RNA
Rfam family: Bacterial small subunit ribosomal RNA
Source: RNAcentral